RNAcentral lists this ribosomal RNA (439 nucleotides) under uncultured bacterium. RNAcentral's name for it is "partial 16S ribosomal RNA". It matches the Rfam family "Bacterial small subunit ribosomal RNA", at positions 339 to 795 of the family's 1533-position model. The record is from RNAcentral.
CUACGGGCGGCUGCAGUGGGGAAUUUUGCGCAAUGGGGGAAACCCUGACGCAGCAAUACCGCGUGAGUGAAGAAGGCCUUUGGGUCGUAAAGCUCUUUUCUUGGGGAAGAUAGUGACGGUACCCAAGGAAUAAGCACCGGCUAACUCCGUGCCAGCAGCCGCGGUAAUACGGAGGGUGCAAGCGUUGUUCGGAUUUACUGGGCGUAAAGGGCACGUAGGCGGCACAGCAAGUUAAGGGUGAAAUCCCGGGGCUCAACUCCGGAACUGCUCUUAAAACUGCUGAGCUAGAGAUAGUCAGAGGCGGGUGGAAUUCCAGGUGUAGAGGUGAAAUUCGUAGAUAUCUGGAGGAACACCGGUGGCGAAGGCGGCCCGCUGGGGCUAUUCUGACGCUAAGGUGCGAAAGCGUGGGGAGCAAACGGGAUUAGAUACCCGCGUAAUC